UGGGCGUAAAGCGAGCGCAGGCGGUUAGAUAAGUCUGAAGUUAAAGGCUGUGGCUUAACCAUAGUACGCUUNGGAAACUGUUUAACUUGAGUGCAGAAGGGGAGAGUGGAAUUCCAUGUGUAGCGGUGAAAUGCGUAGAUAUAUGGAGGAACACCGGUGGCGAAAGCGGCUCUCUGGUCUGUAACUGACGCUGAGGCUCGAAAGCGUGGGGAGCGAACAGGAUUAGAUACCCUGGUAGUNCACGCCGUAAACGAUGAGUGCUAGGUGUUAGGCCCUUUCCGGGGCUUAGUGCCGCAGCUAACGCAUUAAGCACUCCGCCUGGGGAGUACGACCGCAAGGUUGAAACUCAAAGGAAUUGACGGGGGCCCGCACAAGCGGUGGAGCAUGUGGUUUAAUUCGAAGCAACGCGAAGAACCUUACCAGGUCUUGACAUCCCGAUGCCCGCUCUAGAGAUAGAGUUUUACUUCGGUACAUCGGUGACAGGUGGUGCAUGGUUGUCGUCAGCUCGUGUCGUGAGAUGUUGGGUUAANNNNNNNAACGAGCGCAACCCUUAUUGUUAGUUGCCAUCAUUCAGUUGGGCACUCUAGCGAGACUGCCGGUAAUAAACCGGAGGAAGGUGGGGAUGACGUCAAAUCAUCAUGCCCCUUAUGACCUGGGCUACACACGUGCUACAAUGGCUGGUACAACGAGUCGCAAGUCGGUGACGGCAAGCUAAUCUCUUAAAGCCAGUCUCAGUUCGGAUUGUAGGCUGCAACUCGCCUACAUGAAGUCGGAAUCGCUAGUAAUCGCGGAUCAGCACGCCGCGGUGAAUACGUUCCCGGGCCUU
This 826-nucleotide ribosomal RNA is filed under the name uncultured bacterium. Its description in RNAcentral is "bacterial SSU rRNA". It matches the Rfam family "Bacterial small subunit ribosomal RNA", at positions 555 to 1382 of the family's 1533-position model. The record is from RNAcentral.